This 2086-nucleotide ribosomal RNA is filed under the name human gut metagenome. RNAcentral's name for it is "bacterial LSU rRNA". It matches the Rfam family "Bacterial large subunit ribosomal RNA", at positions 744 to 2703 of the family's 2925-position model. The record is from RNAcentral.
GUUGAAGCGCGGGUAAGACCGCGUGGAGGACCGAACCCACCUGGGUUGAAAACCGGGGGGAUGACCUGGGGCUAGGGGUGAAAGGCCAAUCAAAUUCCGUGAUAGCUGGUUCUCUCCGAAAUGCAUUUAGGUGCAGCGUCGGUUGAUUGCAUCGCGGGGGUAGAGCUACUGGAUGCUUGCGGGCCCGUGUCGGGUACCAAUAGCAGCCAAACUCCGAAUACCGUGGAUGUGUAUUCCGGCAGUGAGUCGGCGGGGGAUAAGCUCCGUCGUCGAGAGGGAGACAGCCCAGAUCGUCGUCUAAGGUCCCGAAGCGUGUGCUAAGUGGGAAAGGAUGUGGAGUCGCAUAGACAGCCAGGAGGUUGGCUCAGAAGCAGCCAUCCUUGAAAGAGUGCGUAACAGCUCACUGGUCUAGUGGUUCCGCGCCGACAAUGUAGCGGGGCUCAAGCACACCACCGAAGACGCGGCAGCGGCCUUUGUGGCCGUUGGGUAGGAGAGCGUCCCGCGUGGGGCGAAGCGGCCGGGGAACCGUGCCGUGGACCGCGCGGGAGUGAGAAUGCAGACAUGAGUAGCGAGAGACGGGUGAGGAUCCCGUCCGCUGGAUGACCAAGGGUUCCGGGGCCACGUUCGUCGUCCCCGGGUGAGUCGGGUCCUAAGGCGAGGCCGACAGGCGUAGUCGAAUGGAUGAACGGGUGGAUAUUCCCGUACCGGCGGCGUACCGUAAGAGCCGAACGGAUGAGUACUAACCUCCGGUCGCGUGGCGUCGUUCCCUUCGGGGUUCGGGGUCCGCGGUCGUUGGGAGCGUAGUCCUGGUAGGCUAGCGCACAGGGGUGACACGGAAUGGGAGCCGGCCGCGGAGGUGGUUUUCCGUGGUCAAGCACGCAGCCCGUCCCAUAGGCAAAUCCGUGGGACGCAUAGGGUGAGGUGUGAUGAUGGGCGUCCUUUGGACGCGAUAUCCGGUGGUCCAGGCCGUCGAGAAAAGCCUCGGCGCGAGGGGCGUCGCCGCCCGUACCCCAAACCGACACUGGUGGUCAGGUAGAGAAUACCAAGGCGAUCGAGCGAAUCCUGGUCAAGGAACUCGGCAAAUCACUCCCGUGCCUUCGGUAUAAGGGAGACCCUCGGGCGUGAAGAGGCUUGCCCUCGGAGCGUUGGGGGGUGGCACAGACCAGGGGGUAGCGACUGUUUACCAAAAACACAGGUGCAUGCGAAGGCGCAAGCCGCUGUAUAUGCACUGACGCCUGCCCGGUGCCGGAAGGUUAAGAGGAUCCGUCAGUCCCUUUUGGGGUGAAGCGGUGAAUUCAAGCCCCGGUAAACGGCGGUGGUAACUAUAACCAUCCUAAGGUAGCGAAAUUCCUUGUCGGGUAAGUUCCGACCUGCACGAAUGGCGUAACGACUUCCCCACUGUCUCGACCAGGAGCUCGGCGAAAUUGCAGUACGAGUAAAGAUGCUCGUUAAGCGCAGAAGGACGAAAAGACCCCGGGACCUUUACUAUACCUUGGUAUUGGCGUUAGGCGCGGAUUGUGUAGCAUAGGCGGGAGGCUUCGAAGCAUGGGCGCCAGCCCGUGUGGAGCCGCAAGGUGAAAUACCGCUCUGUUCUCGUUUGACGUCUAACCUCGAACAGUCAUCCUGUUCAGGGACAGUGCCUGGCGGGUAGUUUAACUGGGGCGGUUGCCUCCCAAAGAGUAACGGAGGCGCUCAAAGGUCCGCUCAGCCCGGUUGGCAAUCGGGUUUCGAGUGUAAUCGCACAAGCGGGCUUGACUGCGAGAACGACGGUUCGGGCAGGGACGAAAGUCGGAGAUAGUGAUCCGGUGCCGGCGCACGGGCGCGGCAUCGCUCAACGGAUAAAAGGUACCCCGGGGAUAACAGGCUGAUCAUUCCCAAGAGUCCAUAUCGACGGGAUGGUUUGGCACCUCGAUGUCGGCUCGUCGCAUCCUGGGGCUGGAGCAGGUCCCAAGGGUUCGGCUGUUCGCCGAUUAAAGCGGCACGCGAGCUGGGUUCAGAACGUCGUGAGACAGUUUGGUCUCUAUCCUCUGCGCUCGUUGGAAUCCUGAGGAGGCCUGCCCAUAGUACGAGAGGACCUGGGUGGACG